Molecule: ribosomal RNA, 253 nt
Filed under: uncultured bacterium
Lineage: Bacteria
Description: partial 16S ribosomal RNA
Rfam family: Bacterial small subunit ribosomal RNA
Source: RNAcentral
UACGUAGGGUGCGAGCAUUAAUCGGAUUUAUUGGGCGUAAAGGGCGCGUAGGCGGGAAGAUAAGUCAGAUGUGAAAGCCCGGGGCUCAACCCCGGAACUGCAUUUGAAACUAUCAUUCUAGAGGGUAGGCGGAGAAAAUGGAAUUCCACAAGUAGCGGUGAAAUGCGUAGAUAUGUGGAAGAACACCAGUGGCGAAGGCGAUUUUCUAGCUUAUACCUGACGCUGAGGCGCGAAAGCAAGGGGAGCAAACAGG